Molecule: ribosomal RNA, 301 nt
Filed under: uncultured bacterium
Lineage: Bacteria
Description: partial 16S ribosomal RNA
Rfam family: Bacterial small subunit ribosomal RNA
Source: RNAcentral
CAGCCGCCGCGGUAAUACGGAGGAUCCAAGCGUUAUCCGGAAUCAUUGGGUUUAAAGGGUCCGUAGGCGGUCUUGUAAGUCAGUGGUGAAAGCCCAUCGCUCAACGGUGGAACGGCCAUUGAUACUGCAGGACUUGAAUUAUUGGGAAGUAACUAGAAUAUGUAGUGUAGCGGUGAAAUGCUUAGAGAUUACAUGGAAUACCAAUUGCGAAGGCAGGUUACUACCAAUUGAUUGACGCUGAUGGACGAAAGCGUGGGUAGCGAACAGGAUUAGAGACCCGCUAGUCCCUGUCUCUUAUACU